AACUCAAAGGAAUUGAUGGGGGGCCGCACAAGCGGUGGAGCAUGUGGUUUAAUUAGAAGCAACGCGCAGAACCUUGCCAGCCCUUGACAUCCCGAUGGCGGUUACCAGAGAUGGUUUCCUUCAGUUAGGCUGGAUCGGUGACAGGUGCUGCAUGGCUGUGGUCAGCUCGUGUCGUGAGAUGUUGGGUUAAGUCCCGCAACGAGCGCAACCCUCGCCCUUAGUUGCCAUCAUUCAGUUGGGCACUGUAAGGGGACUGCCGGUGAUAAGCCGAGAGGAAGGUGGGGAUGACGUCAAGUCCUCAUGGCCCUUACGGGCUGGGCUACACACGUGCUACAAUGGUGGUGACAGUGGGCAGCGAGACCGCGAGGUCGAGCUAAUCUCCAAAAGCCAUCUCAGUUCGGAUUGCGCUUUGCAACUCGAGUGCAUGAAGUUGGAAUCGCUAGUAAUCGUGGAUCAGAAUGCCACGGUGAAUACGUUCCCGGGCCUUGUACACACCGCCCGUCACACCAUGGGAGUUGGUUUUACCCGAAGGUGCUGUGCUAACCGCAAGGAGGCAGGCAACCACGGUA
This 569-nucleotide ribosomal RNA is filed under the name uncultured organism. RNAcentral describes it as "SSU rRNA". It matches the Rfam family "Bacterial small subunit ribosomal RNA", at positions 898 to 1464 of the family's 1533-position model. The record is from RNAcentral.